This 763-nucleotide ribosomal RNA is filed under the name uncultured Prevotella sp. Its description in RNAcentral is "bacterial SSU rRNA". It matches the Rfam family "Bacterial small subunit ribosomal RNA", at positions 28 to 776 of the family's 1533-position model. The record is from RNAcentral. Lineage: Bacteria; Pseudomonadati; Bacteroidota; Bacteroidia; Bacteroidales; Prevotellaceae.
GAUGAACGCUAGCUAUAGGCUUAACACAUGCAAGUCGAGGGGAAACGGCAUUAUGUGCUUGCACAUUCUGGACGUCGACCGGCGCACGGGUGAGUAUCGCGUAUCCAACCUUCCCUCCACUCGGGGAUACCCCGUUGAAAGACGGCCUAAUACCCGAUGUUGUCCACAUAUGGCAUCUGACGUGGACCAAAGAUUCAUCGGUGGAGGAUGGGGAUGCGUCUGAUUAGCUUGUUGGUGCGGGUAACGGCCCACCAAGGCGACGAUCAGUAGGGGUUCUGAGAGGAAGGUCCCCCACAUUGGAACUGAGACACGGUCCAAACUCCUACGGGAGGCAGCAGUGAGGAAUAUUGGUCAAUGGACGUAAGUCUGAACCAGCCAAGUAGCGUGCAGGAUUGACGGCCCUAUGGGUUGUAAACUGCUUUUGUUGGGGAGUAAAGUGAGGCACGCGUGCCUUUUUGCAUUUACCCUUCGAAUAAGGACCGGCUAAUUCCGUGCCAGCAGCCGCGGUAAUACGGAAGGUCCAGGCGUUAUCCGGAUUUAUUGGGUUUAAAGGGAGUGUAGGCGGUCUGUUAAGCGUGUUGUGAAAUUUAGGUGCUCAACAUCUACCUUGCAGCGCGAACUGGCGGACUUGAGUGCACGCAACGUAUGCGGAAUUCAUGGUGUAGCGGUGAAAUGCUUAGAUAUCAUGACGAACUCCGAUUGCGAAGGCAGCGUACGGGAGUGUUACUGACGCUUAAGCUCGAAGGUGCGGGUAUCGAACAGG